GAUGAACGCUAGCUACAGGCUUAACACAUGCAAGUCGAGGGACCGGCGCCCGUGUGAGUAACACGUAUCCAUCCUGCCCUUUACUCGGGGAUAGCCUUUCGAAAGAAAGAUUCAUACCCGACAUAAAGGUUGGUGAUGGGUUCCAUUAGGUGGUUGGUGAGGUAACGGCCCACCAAGCCUUCGAUGGAUAGGGGUUCUGAGAGGAAGGGCCCCCAGAUUGGAACUAGGGCACGGUCCAAACUGCUAGGGAAGGCAGCAGUGAGGAAUAUUGGUCAAUGGGCGUUAGCCGGAACCAGCCAAGUAUCGUGAAGGAUGAAGGCUUAUGGAUCGUAAACUUCUUGUAUAGAAGAAGAUGUAUUAUAUGAAGAAGGAUCGGCUAACUCCGUGCCAGCAGCCGCGGUAAUAC
RNAcentral lists this ribosomal RNA (406 nucleotides) under uncultured bacterium. RNAcentral's name for it is "partial 16S ribosomal RNA". It matches the Rfam family "Bacterial small subunit ribosomal RNA", at positions 28 to 526 of the family's 1533-position model. The record is from RNAcentral.